RNAcentral lists this ribosomal RNA (1241 nucleotides) under Galloisiana yuasai. RNAcentral's name for it is "bacterial LSU rRNA". It matches the Rfam family "Bacterial large subunit ribosomal RNA", at positions 845 to 2098 of the family's 2925-position model. The record is from RNAcentral. Lineage: Eukaryota; Metazoa; Arthropoda; Insecta; Grylloblattodea; Grylloblattidae.
AUAGCUGGUUCUCCCCGAAAUAGCUUUAGGGCUAGCGUCGAAUUAAAAGCGCGAUGGAGGUAGAGCACUGAAUGUACAAUGGCCUCAUCUCGAGGUACUGAGUAUAAUCAAACUCCGAAUGCCAUACGCGUGUUGAUCGGCAGUCAGACUGUGGGUGAUAAGGUCCAUGGUCAAAAGGGAAACAGCCCAGACCGCCAGUUAAGGUCCCAAAAUCUAUGCUAAGUGGAAAAGGAUGUGGGGAUGCACAGACAACUAGGAGGUUGGCUUAGAAGCAGCCACCCUUGAAAGAGUGCGUAACAGCUCACUAGUCGAGUGACCCUGCGCCGAAAAUUUACCGGGGCUAAGCAUAGUACCGAAACUGCGGAUUUGUAUUUAAGAUACAAGUGGUAGGGGAGCGUUCCAUAUACGUAGAAGGUAUACCGUGAGGAGUACUGGAGAGUAUGGAAGUGAGAAUGCCGGUGUGAGUAGCGAGAUGUAGGUGAGAAUCCUACACACCGAUAGCCUAAGGAUUCCAGGGGAAGGCUCGUCCGCCCUGGGUAAGUCGGGACCUAAGAUGAGGCCGAAAGGCGUAGUCGAUGGACAACAGGUAGAGAUUCCUGUACCCGCGUGAUAAUGAUGGAGUGACGAAGACGGUUAACUUGAACCACUAAAUGGAUUGUGGUCGAAACGAGGUAGCAGAUGUGUAGGCAAAUCCGCACAUUAAUGUGAAGACGUGAUCGGUAAGUGAACGGCUCCGGCCAAGUAACGAAGCAAGUGAUACCAGCUUCCAAGAAAAGCUUCUAGUGUAAAUAUCAUGGCGGCCCGUACCAAAACCGACACAGGUAGGCAAGGAGAGAAUCCUGAGGUGAGCGAGAGAACUGUUGCCAAGGAACUCGGCAAAAUGACCCCGUAAGUUAGCGAGAAGGGGUGCUCGAAAGAGCCGCAGUGAAGAGGCCCAAGCGACUGUUUAUCUAAAACACAGCUCUCUGCAAAGUCGUAAGACGAAGUAUAGGGGGUGACGCCUGCCCGGUGCUGGAAGGUUAAGAGGAGAAGUCAUCUUCGGAGAAGCUUUGAAUUGAAGCCCCAGUAAACGGCGGCCGUAACUAUAACGGUCCUAAGGUAGCGAAAUUCCUUGUCGGGUAAGUUCCGACCCGCACGAAAGGCGUAAUGAUUUGGGCACUGUCUCAACGAGAGACUCGGUGAAAUUUUAGUACCUGUGAAGAUGCAGGUUACCCGCGACAGGACGGAAAGACCCCAUGGAG